CGGGUGAGUAACGCGUGAGGAACCUGCCUCAAAGAGGGGACAACAGUUGGAAACGACUGCUAAUACCGCAUAAGCCCACGGCUCGGCAUCGAGCAGAGGGAAAAGGAGCAAUCCGCUUUGAGAUGGCCUCGCGUCCGAUUAGCUAGUUGGCGAGGUAACGGCCCACCAAGGCAACGAUCGGUAGCCGGACUGAGAGGUUGAACGGCCACAUUGGGACUGAGACACGGCCCAG
This 232-nucleotide ribosomal RNA is filed under the name uncultured bacterium. RNAcentral's name for it is "partial 16S ribosomal RNA". It matches the Rfam family "Bacterial small subunit ribosomal RNA", at positions 103 to 334 of the family's 1533-position model. The record is from RNAcentral.